This 74-nucleotide transfer RNA is filed under the name bacterium. Its description in RNAcentral is "tRNA-His". It matches the Rfam family "tRNA". From Rfam's summary of the family: Transfer RNA (tRNA) molecules are approximately 80 nucleotides in length. Their secondary structure includes four short double-helical elements and three loops (D, anti-codon, and T loops). The record is from RNAcentral.
GUGCCUAUGGUGUAGCGAUAACACACGAGUUUGUGGCACUCGCGUCGAGGGUUUAACUCCCUCUAGGCACCCCA